RNAcentral lists this ribosomal RNA (403 nucleotides) under uncultured bacterium. RNAcentral's name for it is "bacterial SSU rRNA". It matches the Rfam family "Bacterial small subunit ribosomal RNA", at positions 917 to 1322 of the family's 1533-position model. The record is from RNAcentral.
GGGCCCGCACAAGCGGUGGAGCAUGUGGUUUAAUUCGAUGAUACGCGAGGAACCUUACCAGGGCUUAAAUGGGAGAUGACAGGGGCAGAGACGCCCUUUUCUUCGGACAUCUUUCAAGGUGCUGCAUGGUUGUCGUCAGCUCGUGCCGUGAGGUGUCAGGUUAAGUCCUAUAACGAGCGCAACCCCUACCGUUAGUUGCCAGCGAUUCAAGUCGGGGACUCUAACGGGACUGCCGGUGCAAACCGUGAGGAAGGUGGGGACGACGUCAAAUCAUCACGGCCCUUACGUCCUGGGCUACACACGUGCUACAAUGGUCGGUACAGAGGGCGGCCAACUUGCGAAAGUGAGCGAAUCCCAAAAAGUGCGUCGUAGUCCGGAUUGGAGUCUGCAACUCGACUCCAUG